AGUACUGAAGUCCAGGGCGUCGGUGCUCACUGCUCUGGCAAUGCCCGGUGAGACUGAAUUAUGUUUAAAUUUAUUGUAGAUGCUGAUCUUCUGGACAAUCACACUUUUCCUGCUGGGAGCAGCCAAAGGAAAAGAAGUUUGCUAUGAGGACCUCGGGUGCUUUUCUGACACUGAGCCCUGGGGCGGGACAGCAAUCAGGCCCCUGAAAAUUCUCCCCUGGAGCCCUGAGAAGAUCGGCACCCGCUUCCUGCUGUACACCAAUGAAAACCCAAACAACUUUCAAAUUCUCCUCCUCUCUGAUCCAUCAACAAUUGAGGCAUCAAAUUUUCAAAUGGACAGAAAGACCCGGUUCAUCAUCCAUGGCUUCAUAGACAAAGGAGAUGAGAGCUGGGUGACAGACAUGUGCAAGCCUGGGGCAUCGCCAAGAGCCUGAAAGGACCCCCUCACAGUCAAAUCCGCAAGGUCGUUUAGACACUGGCCACCGGAGAUUGCACCUAAGACUUUUCCUUUUCAAAACAGGACUCUUUUCAUGAUGCAAUUGUUUUUCCCUUACUAACCAACCUUACUGAAUUUGGUUGAAGGAAACCAGAG
This 591-nucleotide small RNA is filed under the name Pan troglodytes (chimpanzee). RNAcentral's name for it is "processed transcript". Lineage: Eukaryota; Metazoa; Chordata; Mammalia; Primates; Hominidae. The record is from RNAcentral.